GAGGAAAGUGGGCAGUUGGGUU
Molecule: microRNA, 22 nt
Filed under: Oryza sativa (Asian cultivated rice)
Lineage: Eukaryota; Viridiplantae; Streptophyta; Magnoliopsida; Poales; Poaceae
Description: osa-miR6253
Source: miRBase by way of RNAcentral